GCCGCGCGGCCGAUCCGGAGCGGCGGGGCCGUGGAGGGCGGGGGAGACACCGGGCACGGAGCUGCUGCCGCCGCCGCCGCUCUCCGGCGCCAGUUUGCUACAGUAGCUGGAUGGUUCUAAUGAGCACAGCAUACUGUUCCAGCUCACUUUCUCUCUUCGAAUUUGGCUACAUGUGGUGGUUUCAAUUCUGCAUGUAGGCAGAGGCCAGGCCCUGCUCACUUUGACAGCCUCAGAAGCUGGUGGCAGAGUUGGAUCUCAGACCUCCUAAGAGACUGACCGCGUGUGUGUUUUCAGAUGCACCCCCACCUGUGAGCAGCGGAAACCUGGGAAGACGAGAAGAGGAAGCUUAAGCCCAGUUCCUGAGAUGCGACGAUGAAGUUUAAGCCUGAUUCCAGAAUCUGAGACGCAGUAGAUGGUGCUGAAGCAACACUGAUGCUCGUCCUGUGAAAUAUCCACAUUCCAGUGUGUAUAUAGAAAGUGCCUGCUGGCUCUCCCAAGUGUUGAUGGUCCUGUGGCUUCAAGAGAUGCAUUCUGGGACGAGAAAACACUGACUGUUAGUUUUAAAAAUGUUAAUAAAUAAUUCUUCAUGUUACUUUUUGGUUCAUCAUUGCUUAUGGAGGUCCUCUCAAGAAUGCAGGUUGAUAGUGGUGGUCUGGGUGCUGAAUACUGACACAGUGUCAUCAUCUCUCAGUUCAUAAAAGUACGCUUGUCUUGGAACUGUGGACGUUUGAGAAGUGAUAGAUAUAUAUCCCAUUAGUGAAAGUCUUGAGUGUAAACUUACAUCAGUUCUAAAAAUGGGAAGAAUUUUUCUGGAUCAUAUUGGUGGCACUCGCCUGUUCUCUUGUGCAAACUGCGACACGAUUCUGACCAACCGUUCCGAACUCAUCUCCACUCGUUUCACCGGCGCCACAGGAAGAGCCUUUCUUUUUAACAAGGUGGUAAAUCUGCAGUACAGUGAAGUUCAGGAUCGGGUCAUGCUCACUGGCCGCCACAUGGUUCGAGACGUGAGCUGCAAGAACUGCAACAGCAAACUGGGUUGGAUCUAUGAAUUUGCCACUGAAGACAGCCAGCGCUACAAGGAGGGCCGUGUCAUCCUGGAAAGAGCAUUAGUCCGAGAGAGCGAAGGAUUUGAGGAGCAUGUUCCAUCUGACAAUUCCUGAAGAGACCUGAGUCUCUUCUCAGGUUCUCUUCCAUUGAAACUCAAGUAUAAUAAAAUCAACAAAAAAAUCUGCUUACAUACACUGUCACCUUAGCAUCAGAGUCGGAUUCAUGGACUACAGAGUGGAAAAGAUUGUGAGAGUAUUUCAGAUGGAACCUUCCUUUCUUUAUUCCAUUUAUAUUUUACUUUCCCUCCAGCAGCUGUUUGUAGAAAGAAUGUUGUGCAGAUGCUGUAACUUUUUCUCUCUUUCAUUUACAUCUGUUAGAUUUGAGAUUGUAUCUACAGAUACACUGGGCUAAAAGGAAAAUAUUUGGUGGAUUUGUCUUUUGUUGGAGAGAAAUUCAAUGAGUUUGUUUUUUUUAGUUUGCACAAACUGAUGUCAGCAUCGAAUUAUUUUAAAAACUUCAGAUUUUUUUAAAAAAGUAUAUUCCAAUUUUUGGCUUAAGUUUUUAGUUAGGUUUUUUUGGGGUUUUUUACCCAGUCUUUUCAACUGGUUUGCUAGCUGAAGUAAAGAGAUCCGAAUUUGUGCUGAGUGCUAAAGGUUCAGUGUUGGUACGGCUUGGGCUGGCCCGUGUGCCAUAUUCUUGUUGAGGUUGAUUGGUAGCACAGAGCCCAUUAUUUCUUGUCAUUCUUGACCCAAAGAUGUCUCCAUUCCUCGUUUGUUUGUGAAGUCCCAUUCACCACGUAAACUGGUGUUGAUUGGAAACUAUUCUUGAAAUAGGGCAAAACUGCUUGGCUUUUUUUAACUUUAACUGAUGUAACUUAUGAGCAUAGUAAUAAUAUAAAAUAAUAGCUGUCUGUUUAGUCUUGCGUUGCUUACGAAUCCAGCUGUGUUUGUAAUGAUAGGGAUCCACUGAGAAACUACUGUUUCAGUAGUGAUUUUUUUUUUUUUUCGUUUUCUCUACUAAUCUUAUUAAGUAGACAGGGAAUUGCAAAUCUUAAUUCUUCUUCAAGUAGCUUUCUUUAAACCCAGAACUUCCUAUGUUAAACACAGCUGCUGUGUAAAAGGAGAAGAUUGCCAGCAUGUUUGUUCAUGCCUAGAGUUAUGCAGUCCGCAUCUCUUGAAAAGAUUAACUUAAACAGCUUGUUUUCAAAUGCUGCUUCUGGUGUUGAAACCUUUAUCUUUCAACUUUGUUGAACCUUUUCGUUGUGUUGUUACAUUUUUAUCUUUCUGGGCAGCAGUAGGUGUCAGCCUGGUAGUAACUAGUGACUUGGAUUCCUGCUUUGUUCUUGUAGAGGUCAGCUCUGUUUGAAACAGUGAUCUUGCUUGCCUUUUUAGCAAAAAUGCUCUUCAGUAACUUAACUCAAGGGUGCCCAAACACUUUCUUUGUGUCUUAAGCCAUAAGUUAAGAUCUCAAGGGCUGAAAUUUAUUUGAAUGUUAGAUAUGUAUGAUUUCUUAUCCAAGAUACAAGUUAGUUGUCGGUUUUUUUCAUGUUGGAUAAAUUGUGGUCAACGUGAAAUAAGUUACCCACAGAUGUAGAAAAAGGAGGGGGGGGAGCCCCACCCAACCAAACAGGUCUGGGCUCUGACAUUUCAGAAUAACUUUUCUUCCCUAGCCACUGCUCCAUGUCUGAAACUAAAACUGGGAGGGUGACUAUGCAGAGUAUUUUUCUUAAUUUUUUAGUUGCCAAGUGGCAAUUUGGACACCCCUGACUUGAAUCUACUGCCUCUUUCAUGUAAAAGUAGCUUUAUUAUAGAAUUGUCACAUAGAAAGAAAAGAGUAGAUCACAUACCAGAGCUGUGCUUGAAUCAAGCUGCUUAAACAAUAGUGUACUUGUGCCUCAAAUGAAUCAGUUUUUGCACUGAGUACAGUAGUACCCCAUUAUCUUGUACUCCUGUCCUUCACAGACCCUAAAAGCGCCAUUAGCAUGGUUCUCCGCAGUACUUUUCUUGUACUUCUGACAUUACAGUACAAUAAAGUAUGUUUUGUCCUGAACUGA
Molecule: RNA transcript, 3100 nt
Organism: Chiroxiphia lanceolata (lance-tailed manakin)
Lineage: Eukaryota; Metazoa; Chordata; Aves; Passeriformes; Pipridae
Gene: YPEL5
Gene name: yippee like 5
Exons: 7
Source: RefSeq, a predicted model, not a curated record